RNAcentral lists this ribosomal RNA (916 nucleotides) under uncultured bacterium. RNAcentral's name for it is "bacterial SSU rRNA". It matches the Rfam family "Bacterial small subunit ribosomal RNA", at positions 10 to 916 of the family's 1533-position model. The record is from RNAcentral.
AGUUUGAUCCUGGCUCAGGAUGAACGCUAGCUACAGGCUUAACACAUGCAAGUCGAGGGGAAACGACAUCGAAAGCUUGCUUUUGAUGGGCGUCGACCGGCGCACGGGUGAGUAACGCGUAUCCAACCUGCCCACCACUUGGGGAUAACCUUGCGAAAGUAAGACUAAUACCCAAUGACGUCUCUAGAAGACAUCUGAAGGAGAUUAAAGAUUUAUCGGUGAUGGAUGGGGAUGCGUCUGAUUAGCUUGUUGGCGGGGUAACGGCCCACCAAGGCGACGAUCAGUAGGGGUUCUGAGAGGAAGGUCCCCCACAUUGGAACUGAGACACGGUCCAAACUCCUACGGGAGGCAGCAGUGAGGAAUAUUGGUCAAUGGGCGAGAGCCUGAACCAGCCAAGUAGCGUGCAGGAUGACGGCCCUAUGGGUUGUAAACUGCUUUUAUAAGGGAAUAAAGUGAGUCUCGUGAGACUUUUUGCAUGUACCUUAUGAAUAAGGACCGGCUAAUUCCGUGCCAGCAGCCGCGGUAAUACGGAAGGUCCGGGCGUUAUCCGGAUUUAUUGGGUUUAAAGGGAGCGUAGGCCGGAGAUUAAGCGUGUUGUGAAAUGUAGACGCUCAACGUCUGCACUGCAGCGCGAACUGGUUUCCUUGAGUACGCACAAAGUGGGCGGAAUUCGUGGUGUAGCGGUGAAAUGCUUAGAUAUCACGAAGAACUCCGAUUGCGAAGGCAGCUCACUGGAGCGCAACUGACGCUGAAGCUCGAAAGUGCGGGUAUCGAACAGGAUUAGAUACCCUGGUAGUCCGCACGGUAAACGAUGGAUGCCCGCUGUUGGUCUGAAUAGGUCAGCGGCCAAGCGAAAGCAUUAAGCAUCCCACCUGGGGAGUACGCCGGCAACGGUGAAACUCAAAGGAAUUGACGG